UAAUAUGGCAAUUAAAACAAUAAACAAAUCACAAUAAUAAAUCACUAAUUGGUAUUGGUUAAAGGCACACUAUAGACACCAAAACAACUUUAGUUUAAUGAAGCAGCUUUAGUGUAUAUAUCAUUCACUGCUAGUAUAGAUCAUUCACUGCUCAAUUUUCUGUCCGGUUAAAUCAGUUGUCACUUUUGUUUCUGUUUAUGCAGCCCAAGUAAAUGACAGUCUGCAUAAAAAAAAAAAAAAAAAAAUGGUUUCACUUUCAAUAAUGUUAACUUACUUUAAAAGUUGUUAGCUCCUGACCUGUAAAUUGAACUUUACUUGCAUACAGGAGGCUACUGCAG
This is a non-coding RNA of Pelobates cultripes (western spadefoot toad), 338 nucleotides long. The record is from the annotation of a GenBank genome assembly. Lineage: Eukaryota; Metazoa; Chordata; Amphibia; Anura; Pelobatidae.